AGUGAACGCUGGCGGUAGGCCUAACACAUGCAAGUCGAACGGCAGCACAGUAAGAGCUUGCUCUUACGGGUGGCGAGUGGCGGACGGGUGAGGAAUACAUCGGAAUCUACUUUUUCGCGGGGGAUAACGUAGGGAAACUUACGCUAAUACCGCAUACGACCUACGGGUGAAAGCAGGGGAUCUUCGGACCUUGCGCGAUUGAAUGAGCCGAUGUCGGAUUAGCUAGUUGGCGGGGUAAAGGCCCACCAAGGCGACGAUCCGUAGCUGGUCUGAGAGGAUGAUCAGCCACACUGGAACUGAGACACGGUCCAGACUCCUACGGGAGGCAGCAGUGGGGAAUAUUGGACAAUGGGCGCAAGCCUGAUCCAGCCAUACCGCGUGGGUGAAGAAGGCCUUCGGGCUGUAAAGCCCUUUUGUCGGGAAAGAAAAGCAGCAGGUUAAUACCCCGCUGUUCUGACGGUACCCAAAGAAUAAGCACCGGCUAACUUCGUG
This 492-nucleotide ribosomal RNA is filed under the name uncultured bacterium. Its description in RNAcentral is "partial 16S ribosomal RNA". It matches the Rfam family "Bacterial small subunit ribosomal RNA", at positions 29 to 507 of the family's 1533-position model. The record is from RNAcentral.